GAACGUUGGCGGCGUGCCUAACACAUGCAAGUCGAGGGGCAGCAGGCUACUACCUUCGGGUAGUAGUGCUGGCGACCGGCAAACGGGUGAGUAACACGUAGCUAACCUACCCAUAGGUUGGGGAUAACCAUCCGAAAGGGUGGCUAAUACCCAAUAAAGAGGGGACUCCAAAGCCCUUACGGGUGCCUAUGGAUGGGGCUGCGUCCCAUCAGCUAGUUGGUGAGGUAAAGGCUCACCAAGGCUACGACGGGUAACCGGUCUGAGAGGAUGAUCGGUCACAGUGGGACUGAGACACGGCCCGCACCCCUACGGGGGGCAGCAGUGGGGAAUAUUGGGCAAUGGCCGAAAGGCUGACCCAGCAACGCCGCGUGGUGGAAGAAGCCCUUCGGGGUGUAAACACCUUUUCUGGGGGAAGACAAUGACGGUACCCCAGGAAUAAGGGGCGGCUAACUACGUGCCAGCAGCCGCGGUAAUACGUAGGUCCCGAACGUUGCGCGAAAUUACUGGGCGUAAAGGGUCCGUAGGCGGUCUGGUAAGUGGAAGGUGAAAU
RNAcentral lists this ribosomal RNA (550 nucleotides) under uncultured bacterium. Its description in RNAcentral is "bacterial SSU rRNA". It matches the Rfam family "Bacterial small subunit ribosomal RNA", at positions 31 to 600 of the family's 1533-position model. The record is from RNAcentral.